This 833-nucleotide long non-coding RNA is filed under the name Scleropages formosus (Asian bonytongue). Its description in RNAcentral is "lncRNA (ENSSFOG00015028709.1)". The record is from RNAcentral. Lineage: Eukaryota; Metazoa; Chordata; Actinopteri; Osteoglossiformes; Osteoglossidae.
AUCAUCACUGAUUUGGUCUCUGCGUUGAGGAUUGUGGUUGUGAAGCAGAUAGCGGAGACAGAACGAAGGCACAGUGCAUCAGGUCCCAGUGUCAACCACUCAUUGGUGGAGAUCUUCACAAAGUCCCUCCUUUCUCCAUCGCUGCGGCCGCUGUCUUCAAAGGAAGUGGCUGUUGCUGUAAAGACGAGUCUGUCGAGACCACGUGAAAAGUGGCGUAGCUGGAACCUGGGAGGGUCAGUGUCAUGGAAAGUACACAGGAUACUUAUGGUGCUGGUGAUGACGCUACCAGGGCCGCCUGUCAUCAGCUAUGAGGAGGAAGUCGGCCAGUUAAAGGAGACAGCCGGGAAUGAAGCCUUGGACCUGUUUCACGCACUCAGCUGCCUGCGCUUAAGGGAGGGGGUUCUGCCCUUUGGCAACUUCACCUUUCUGCCCUCUAGCACCCCACUGGACUCCUUUGCCAACCACUCCUUGGCUUCCUGCGAUCCUGGGGCUGCGCUUCCUUGUGCUGCUCAACCUUAGCCGAGACACUCGUCGCUUGGAGUCCAGCUGGGCCUCGGGCCUCCCUACUGGCGGUGUGUUCGCAGCCAGCUCCGGCCUUGACCGUGUGGGUUUCCUCUCCCUAGAAACGCUGCUCCUGAAGCCCGAAGAGGCUGUGGUUAUUCGGUUGUUGGAUUCUAGAACCUUCUCAUAAGCUUCAUGCUAAGCCAAUUGGAAGACAAAUUUACUUCUUCGCAAGAUAAUCAGAAUAAUUUGUUAGAAAACUGAGAGCUGUGAAAAAUAAGUUAAUGGAAGUAUCUUUCAAUAAAUAGUGUACCUGCUGGGGUGAAAUUGCA